AAUCCCUUUCCUCAGAUGUUGAGGUUAGGACUCUAUCAAAUAUUCUGUACUCUGGCCUUGGGUUUUUACGUCCAAGAUGCAUUAUCUUGCACUUAUCCACAUUAAAUGUCAGUUGCCACAACUCUGACCAUUUUUCUAGUUUACCUAAAUCAUUUGCCAUUUGGCUUAUCCCUCCUGGAAUAUCAACCCUGUUACAUAUCU
Non-coding RNA from Pelobates cultripes (western spadefoot toad), 201 nucleotides. Lineage: Eukaryota; Metazoa; Chordata; Amphibia; Anura; Pelobatidae. The record is from the annotation of a GenBank genome assembly.